GACGAACGCUGGCGGCGUGCUUAACACAUGCAAGUCGAACGGGCCUUGUCCCCUUUUUUUUUGGGGGUGGGGUUAGUGGCGAACGGGUGAGUAACACGUGAGUAACCUGCCCCUCACUUCUGGAUAACCGCUUGAAAGGGUGGCUAAUACGGGGUGUUCUGGCCUGCUCGCAUGGGUGGGUUUGGAAAGAUUCGACCGGUUUUGGUUGUUUUGGUGGGGGAUGGGCUCGCGGCCUAUCAGCUUGUUGGUGGGGUGAUGGCCUGCCAAGGCUUUGACGGGUAGCCGGCCUGAGAGGGUGGGCGGUCACACUGGGACUGAGACACGGCCCAGACUCCUACGGGAGGCAGCAGUGGGGAAUAUUGCACGAUGGGCGCAAGCCUGAUGCAGCGACGCCGCGUGAGGGAUGGAGGCCUUCGGGUUGUGAACCUCUUUCGCCAGUGAAGAAGGUCCUGCUCUUUGUGGUGGGGUUGACGGUAGCUGGGUUAAUGAAGCGCCGGCUAACUACGUG
Molecule: ribosomal RNA, 508 nt
Filed under: uncultured bacterium
Lineage: Bacteria
Description: partial 16S ribosomal RNA
Rfam family: Bacterial small subunit ribosomal RNA
Source: RNAcentral